AAAACAUUUUUUGUUUUUUUUUUCUUUUGCUUAAAUAAUGAAAAUGUGAAAUGAAACAAGAGGGGUUGUGGAGGAAAGGAACCAAAGAAUUGAAUGACGGCGCGUAUAGCUCACUUGCAUUCUGGCGCUUGAAUGGUCGCGUGGGGAGGCGAGCAAGGAGGCGGCUCAGGGAGCUAUCGUUGAAGCUCCUCCACGUAAAUAUCGAUUCCAAAUAAAAGAUGACGUCUUUUCUGACAUCACAGUAUAUCAUACGAGAUGACGUCAUGCGACCAGUCAUUGAACGGAACUUUGACAAUUGUUGGUAAAAAGCACCGCGUACGUGAUUGAAGCAAAAAUCAUUUUUGUACAGAUUCGUUUGCUCUUUAGUAAUCAAACAGAUUCGAGAACACGAGACGAGACACCAUUAGUUUUCCCCAGAGCGCUACCUCCUCUAUAUCAUAAUACAAAUUAUUUUAGUUAAAACACACAAAAAUUAAAAAUGUUAUUACUCUUAUUGGUUCGGUAAAAAAUAUAAAAUUGUAUAAAAUGAAAAUAACUUAUAAUUUAAAACAAAUAAUUCUAUUAAAGCAAAUUGUAUUAUAAAACAUAAAGA
This is a long non-coding RNA of Brassica rapa (field mustard), 592 nucleotides long. RefSeq lists it as uncharacterized. The record is from RefSeq and is a predicted model, not a curated record. Lineage: Eukaryota; Viridiplantae; Streptophyta; Magnoliopsida; Brassicales; Brassicaceae.